UGGAGAAUAUUGCACAAUGGAGGGAACUCUGAUGCAGCGACGCCGCGUGAACGAAGAAGGCUUUCGAGUCGUAAAGUUCUUUUAUAUGGGAAGAUAAUGACGGUACCAUAAGAAAAAGCCCCGGCUAACUACGUGCCAGCAGCCGCGGUAAUACGUAGGGGGCUAGCGUUGUCCGGAAUCACUGGGCGUAAAGGGUUCGCAGGCGGAAAUGCAAGUCAGGUGUAAAAGGCAGUAGCUUAACUACUGUAAGCAUUUGAAACUGCAUAUCUUGAGAAGAGUAGAGGUAAGUGGAAUUUUUAGUGUAGCGGUGAAAUGCGUAGAUAUUAAAAAGAAUACCGGUGGCGAAGGCGACUUACUGGGCUCAUUCUGACGCUGAGGAACGAAAGCGUGGGUAGCAAAAAGG
This 403-nucleotide ribosomal RNA is filed under the name Fusobacteriota bacterium. Its description in RNAcentral is "Fusobacteria bacterium partial 16S ribosomal RNA". It matches the Rfam family "Bacterial small subunit ribosomal RNA", at positions 355 to 776 of the family's 1533-position model. The record is from RNAcentral. Lineage: Bacteria; Fusobacteriati; Fusobacteriota.